AUUAGAUACCCUGGUAGUCCACACAGUAAACGAUGAAUACUCGCUGUUUGCGAUAUACAGUAAGCGGCCAAGCGAAAGCAUUAAGUAUUCCACCUGGGGAGUACGCCGGCAACGGUGAAACUCAAAGGAAUUGACGGGGGCCCGCACAAGCGGAGGAACAUGUGGUUUAAUUCGAUGAUACGCGAGGAACCUUACCCGGGCUCAAACGGGAGAUGACUCGGCCAGAGACGGCCGUUUCCGCAAGGACAUCUUCCGAGGUGCUGCAUGGUUGUCGUCAGCUCGUGCCGUGAGGUGUCGGCUUAAGUGCCAUAACGAGCGCAACCCCCACCGUCAGUUGCCAGCAGGUAAGGCUGGGGACUCUGACGGGACUGCCGGCGCAAGCUGUGAGGAAGGCGGGGAUGACGUCAAAUCAGCACGGCCCUUACGUCCGGGGCGACACACGUGUUACAAUGGCAGGUACAGAGAGAAGCCAGGUGGCGACACCGAGCGGAACUUCAAAGCCUGUCUCAGUUCGGAUCGGAGUCUGCAACCCGACUCCGUGAAGCUGGAUUCGCUAGUAAUCGCGCAUCAGCCAUGGCGCGGUGAAUACGUUCCCGGGCCUUGUACACACCGCCCGUCAAGCCAUGGAAGCCGGGAGUGCCUGAAGUGUGCGGCCGCAAGGAGCGCCCUAAGGUAAAACCGGUGACUGGGGCUAAGUCGUAACAAGGUACC
Molecule: ribosomal RNA, 711 nt
Filed under: uncultured bacterium
Lineage: Bacteria
Description: bacterial SSU rRNA
Rfam family: Bacterial small subunit ribosomal RNA
Source: RNAcentral